Transfer RNA from Camelus ferus (Wild Bactrian camel), 71 nucleotides. It matches the Rfam family "tRNA". Rfam says of the family: Transfer RNA (tRNA) molecules are approximately 80 nucleotides in length. The record is from Rfam. Lineage: Eukaryota; Metazoa; Chordata; Mammalia; Artiodactyla; Camelidae.
UGGGGUAUAGCUCAGUGUAGUGUGAGUGCUUAGCAUGCACAAGGUCCUGGGUUCAAUCCCCAGUACCUCCA